RNAcentral lists this ribosomal RNA (1581 nucleotides) under Salmonella enterica subsp. enterica serovar Kentucky. Its description in RNAcentral is "partial 23S ribosomal RNA". It matches the Rfam family "Bacterial large subunit ribosomal RNA", at positions 1355 to 2915 of the family's 2925-position model. The record is from RNAcentral. Lineage: Bacteria; Pseudomonadati; Pseudomonadota; Gammaproteobacteria; Enterobacterales; Enterobacteriaceae.
CUGUCCAACGUUAAUCGGGGCAGGGUGAGUCGACCCCUAAGGCGAGGCCGAAAGGCGUAGUCGAUGGGAAACGGGUUAAUAUUCCCGUACUUGGUGUUACUGCGAAGGGGGGACGGAGAAGGCUAUGUUGGCCGGGCGACGGUUGUCCCGGUUUAAGCGUGUAGGCUGGUUUUCCAGGCAAAUCCGGAAAAUCAAGGCUGAGGCGUGAUGACGAGGCACUACGGUGCUGAAGCAACAAAUGCCCUGCUUCCAGGAAAAGCCUCUAAGCAUCAGGUAACAUCAAAUCGUACCCCAAACCGACACAGGUGGUCAGGUAGAGAAUACCAAGGCGCUUGAGAGAACUCGGGUGAAGGAACUAGGCAAAAUGGUGCCGUAACUUCGGGAGAAGGCACGCUGACACGUAGGUGAAGUGAUUUACUCAUGGAGCUGAAGUCAGUCGAAGAUACCAGCUGGCUGCAACUGUUUAUUAAAAACACAGCACUGUGCAAACACGAAAGUGGACGUAUACGGUGUGACGCCUGCCCGGUGCCGGAAGGUUAAUUGAUGGGGUCAGCGCAAGCGAAGCUCCUGAUCGAAGCCCCGGUAAACGGCGGCCGUAACUAUAACGGUCCUAAGGUAGCGAAAUUCCUUGUCGGGUAAGUUCCGACCUGCACGAAUGGCGUAAUGAUGGCCAGGCUGUCUCCACCCGAGACUCAGUGAAAUUGAACUCGCUGUGAAGAUGCAGUGUACCCGCGGCAAGACGGAAAGACCCCGUGAACCUUUACUAUAGCUUGACACUGAACAUUGAGCCUUGAUGUGUAGGAUAGGUGGGAGGCUUUGAAGUGUGGACGCCAGUCUGCAUGGAGCCGACCUUGAAAUACCACCCUUUAAUGUUUGAUGUUCUAACGUGGACCCGUAAUCCGGGUUGCGGACAGUGUCUGGUGGGUAGUUUGACUGGGGCGGUCUCCUCCUAAAGAGUAACGGAGGAGCACGAAGGUUGGCUAAUCCUGGUCGGACAUCAGGAGGUUAGUGCAAUGGCAUAAGCCAGCUUGACUGCGAGCGUGACGGCGCGAGCAGGUGCGAAAGCAGGUCAUAGUGAUCCGGUGGUUCUGAAUGGAAGGGCCAUCGCUCAACGGAUAAAAGGUACUCCGGGGAUAACAGGCUGAUACCGCCCAAGAGUUCAUAUCGACGGCGGUGUUUGGCACCUCGAUGUCGGCUCAUCACAUCCUGGGGCUGAAGUAGGUCCCAAGGGUAUGGCUGUUCGCCAUUUAAAGUGGUACGCGAGCUGGGUUUAGAACGUCGUGAGACAGUUCGGUCCCUAUCUGCCGUGGGCGCUGGAGAACUGAGGGGGGCUGCUCCUAGUACGAGAGGACCGGAGUGGACGCAUCACUGGUGUUCGGGUUGUCAUGCCAAUGGCACUGCCCGGUAGCUAAAUGCGGAAGAGAUAAGUGCUGAAAGCAUCUAAGCACGAAACUUGCCCCGAGAUGAGUUCUCCCUGAGACUUAGAGUCUCCUGAAGGAACGUUGAAGACGACGACGUUGAUAGGCCGGGUGUGUAAGCGCAGCGAUGCGUUGAGCUAACCGGUACUAAUGAACCGUGAGG